GUAACUGCUGGUUGUAAAUGGUUGUGGUCUGUCUCUAGCUAGAGCGCUUAGAUUGCUACAUUGUUUACGUUGCAGUGUACAGUUUGGAGCUUUAACGAAGUCGGAAACGAACAAAAUGAUGGUGUCCUCACUUGUCGCUAGUUUUCCGAUGAGGAGAAGUGAUGACGAAGAUGAAGAUGUAGUUUCUGCUGCAGUAGUUGCCUACCUACACUGGAAGUGCUGCCUUCGUCGCUGUCAGGCGGGUGUAUUGUUUGACAGCGUUUCGAACACGCAGCUGCAGGCCUUUGCAUGGCUCUGCAAAGGCCAUGACAUUGGUGCAAGCAAAUGAUAUCACGUAGACAAUCUCAGCAACAAGGCAAACCUAGACAUGAAACUAACAUCAGUCAGAUUGAUUUUGAUAGUGACAUUGUCUAUGUUGAGAUUAUGUUGCAUUUUGUGAAAAAUU
This is a long non-coding RNA of Corticium candelabrum, 445 nucleotides long. RefSeq lists it as uncharacterized. NCBI's taxonomy places the organism in Eukaryota, Metazoa, Porifera, Homoscleromorpha, Homosclerophorida, Plakinidae. The transcript has 3 exons. The record is from RefSeq and is a predicted model, not a curated record.